Molecule: long non-coding RNA, 270 nt
Organism: Myotis brandtii (Brandt's bat)
Lineage: Eukaryota; Metazoa; Chordata; Mammalia; Chiroptera; Vespertilionidae
Exons: 4
Source: RefSeq, a predicted model, not a curated record
GAUGGAAACACUGAGACUCAGAGAGAGCUGGUGAUCUCUGCGGCACUCGGGCAGCAGAAAGGAUCGAGCCCCGUCCUCCAGGAUCCGAUGGCCCACGGACACUGCUGACUCUUCAGGAUAUGCGGACAUGGAGCCAGGUAGACUGAAAUUACCAUGUGUCCAAAUUAAAAUUGCAUACUUCAAGGAUUAUUUGAAGGACUAUUCUUAGACCCUUUUAAGAAGAUUUAAAGAAAAACCGCUCAGCCCUGAGUGAGGCAAGGACCCUGUUCG